This 405-nucleotide ribosomal RNA is filed under the name uncultured bacterium. RNAcentral describes it as "bacterial SSU rRNA". It matches the Rfam family "Bacterial small subunit ribosomal RNA", at positions 355 to 776 of the family's 1533-position model. The record is from RNAcentral.
UGGGGAAUUUUGCGCAAUGGGGGAAACCCUGACGCAGCAACGCCGCGUGCGGGAUGACGGCCUUCGGGUUGUAAACCGCUUUCAGCAGGGAAGACCAAGCGACGGUACCUGCAGAAGAAGCUCCGGCUAACUACGUGCCAGCAGCCGCGGUAAUACGUAGGGAGCGAGCGUUAUCCGGAUUCAUUGGGCGUAAAGCGCGCGUAGGCGGCGCGUCAAGCGGAACCUCUAACCCGAGGGCUCAACCCCCGGCCGGGUUCCGAACUGGCGCGCUCGAGUGCGGUAGAGGAAGGCGGAAUUCCCGGUGUAGCGGUGAAAUGCGCAGAUAUCGGGAAGAACACCGAUGGCGAAGGCAGCCUUCUGGGCCGCCACUGACGCUGAGGCGCGAAAGCUGGGGGAGCGAACAGG